This is a long non-coding RNA of Alnus glutinosa, 667 nucleotides long. RefSeq lists it as uncharacterized. The transcript is spliced from 3 exons. The record is from RefSeq and is a predicted model, not a curated record. Lineage: Eukaryota; Viridiplantae; Streptophyta; Magnoliopsida; Fagales; Betulaceae.
UUCUUCCUCUGUUCUUAUUUUCUCCUUUGUUCUUCCUUCUGCCCGAGCGACACAGAGAUGUGAGACAGAGAGAGAUCGAGAGUUUGAGAGAGAGUGAGGUCGGGAGAUCGAGAGAGAGAUGGAGGCCCGAUCCUCCGGUGGAUGACGCCAGUGAAGCUACGAUGGCCGAUCCUCCAGGUGCGAUUUCCGGCGAGCUCGUUGACCCAAGAACCCAUGGAAACCCGUAACCCAGAACCCCUCGGACCCGCAACCCAUGACCCGCUGAACCCGUGAGGAAGACCCGGUUCUCCAAGUGUGGUUUCCAGCAAAUUUUCCGGCGGAAAUCAGAGGCGAUUUUUAAUGGAUUUUUGAGGAAAAUCCCAAGGAGCAUGUCAUAGUUGGAGACUUCAACAGGUUCUCCAAUGUAGAGUUCGAGUCAUGAGUUCAAUGCAGCCAAGAUGAUGUUUCUUUGGCUGCAGGUACUUCGGUAUUGUUGAUGGGUUGGUAGCAGUGUACUUGGGAUAUUAUGACUGAAGCUUGUCGCGACAGUUGUAAUUGUCGGACCACGGGUUGUCCACUAUUUUAUAGGUUAGGUAUGACUUGUGGCGUUUGUGUCACUUAUUAUUUGUUAAGACAUUAUUGUUAUGUAAAUAUUGUGUUAAUAAGACUCAAACAGAUAGAUGUUAAA